GGCUCACACUUCUCUGCUUCUUUGUCCUUUUUCUUGGUUGCAUGAUAAGGUAAAGGGUGGCAUCGGGAGCAAGAGACCAACAGCGUGGAAGGCGCAUCGCACCUUCCUUCACCCACUAUCUUCUCUUUUUCUUUCUUUGGCCAUUAAGAAACGAGAGGAAAUGGUGGUGGUAGGUAGAGCCUCCUGUGUGUCUCUCUCAUUCUCUC
RNAcentral lists this long non-coding RNA (206 nucleotides) under Elaeis guineensis (African oil palm). RNAcentral's name for it is "long non-coding RNA (EGUI_LNC012993)". Lineage: Eukaryota; Viridiplantae; Streptophyta; Magnoliopsida; Arecales; Arecaceae. The record is from RNAcentral.